GCGCACCAGUCGAGAAUUUUUCUCAAUGGGGGCAACCCUGAAGGAGCGACGCCGCGUGGAGGAUGAAGGCUUUCGGGUUGUAAACUCCUGUCAUUUGAGAACAAGUGGUGAGCAAAUAACUACUGCUCAUUUGAUAGUAUCAGAAGAGGAAGGGACGGCUAACUCUGUGCCAGCAGCCGCGGUAAUACAGAGGUCCCAAGCGUUGUUCGGAUUCAUUGGGCGUAAAGGGUGCGUAGGUGGCGCCGUCAGUGGGGUGUGAAAUUUCGGAGCUUAACUCCGAAACUGCAUUCCAUACUGCGGUGCUUGAGGACUGGAGAGGAGACUGGAAUUCAUGGUGUAGCAGUGAAAUGCGUAGAGAUCAUGAGGAAGACCAGUGGCGAAGGCGGGUCUCUGGACAGUUCCUGACACUGAGGCACGAAGGCUAGGGGGAGCGAACGGGAUUAGAUACCCCCGUAGU
This 457-nucleotide ribosomal RNA is filed under the name uncultured organism. RNAcentral describes it as "bacterial SSU rRNA". It matches the Rfam family "Bacterial small subunit ribosomal RNA", at positions 346 to 794 of the family's 1533-position model. The record is from RNAcentral.